GUCUCAGGCCGUAUCAGCCUGAAGGCGCCCGAUCUCGUCUGGUCUCGGAAGCUAAGCAGGGUCGGGCCUGGUUAGGAUCUUGGAUGGGAGACCACCUGGGAGUCCCUGGUGCUCGAGGCU
This is a ribosomal RNA of Bison bison bison, 120 nucleotides long. Lineage: Eukaryota; Metazoa; Chordata; Mammalia; Artiodactyla; Bovidae. The record is from Ensembl.